Molecule: ribosomal RNA, 2906 nt
Filed under: Escherichia coli
Lineage: Bacteria; Pseudomonadati; Pseudomonadota; Gammaproteobacteria; Enterobacterales; Enterobacteriaceae
Description: 23S ribosomal RNA
Rfam family: Bacterial large subunit ribosomal RNA
Source: RNAcentral
GGUUAAGCGACUAAGCGUACACGGUGGAUGCCCUGGCAGUCAGAGGCGAUGAAGGACGUGCUAAUCUGCGAUAAGCGUCGGUAAGGUGAUAUGAACCGUUAUAACCGGCGAUUUCCGAAUGGGGAAACCCAGUGUGAUUCGUCACACUAUCAUUAACUGAAUCCAUAGGUUAAUGAGGCGAACCGGGGGAACUGAAACAUCUAAGUACCCCGAGGAAAAGAAAUCAACCGAGAUUCCCCCAGUAGCGGCGAGCGAACGGGGAGCAGCCCAGAGCCUGAAUCAGUGUGUGUGUUAGUGGAAGCGUCUGGAAAGGCGCGCGAUACAGGGUGACAGCCCCGUACACAAAAAUGCACAUGCUGUGAGCUCGAUGAGUAGGGCGGGACACGUGGUAUCCUGUCUGAAUAUGGGGGGACCAUCCUCCAAGGCUAAAUACUCCUGACUGACCGAUAGUGAACCAGUACCGUGAGGGAAAGGCGAAAAGAACCCCGGCGAGGGGAGUGAAAAAGAACCUGAAACCGUGUACGUACAAGCAGUGGGAGCACGCUUAGGCGUGUGACUGCGUACCUUUUGUAUAAUGGGUCAGCGACUUAUAUUCUGUAGCAAGGUUAACCGAAUAGGGGAGCCGAAGGGAAACCGAGUCUUAACUGGGCGUUAAGUUGCAGGGUAUAGACCCGAAACCCGGUGAUCUAGCCAUGGGCAGGUUGAAGGUUGGGUAACACUAACUGGAGGACCGAACCGACUAAUGUUGAAAAAUUAGCGGAUGACUUGUGGCUGGGGGUGAAAGGCCAAUCAAACCGGGAGAUAGCUGGUUCUCCCCGAAAGCUAUUUAGGUAGCGCCUCGUGAAUUCAUCUCCGGGGGUAGAGCACUGUUUCGGCAAGGGGGUCAUCCCGACUUACCAACCCGAUGCAAACUGCGAAUACCGGAGAAUGUUAUCACGGGAGACACACGGCGGGUGCUAACGUCCGUCGUGAAGAGGGAAACAACCCAGACCGCCAGCUAAGGUCCCAAAGUCAUGGUUAAGUGGGAAACGAUGUGGGAAGGCCCAGACAGCCAGGAUGUUGGCUUAGAAGCAGCCAUCAUUUAAAGAAAGCGUAAUAGCUCACUGGUCGAGUCGGCCUGCGCGGAAGAUGUAACGGGGCUAAACCAUGCACCGAAGCUGCGGCAGCGACGCUUAUGCGUUGUUGGGUAGGGGAGCGUUCUGUAAGCCUGCGAAGGUGUGCUGUGAGGCAUGCUGGAGGUAUCAGAAGUGCGAAUGCUGACAUAAGUAACGAUAAAGCGGGUGAAAAGCCCGCUCGCCGGAAGACCAAGGGUUCCUGUCCAACGUUAAUCGGGGCAGGGUGAGUCGACCCCUAAGGCGAGGCCGAAAGGCGUAGUCGAUGGGAAACAGGUUAAUAUUCCUGUACUUGGUGUUACUGCGAAGGGGGGACGGAGAAGGCUAUGUUGGCCGGGCGACGGUUGUCCCGGUUUAAGCGUGUAGGCUGGUUUUCCAGGCAAAUCCGGAAAAUCAAGGCUGAGGCGUGAUGACGAGGCACUACGGUGCUGAAGCAACAAAUGCCCUGCUUCCAGGAAAAGCCUCUAAGCAUCAGGUAACAUCAAAUCGUACCCCAAACCGACACAGGUGGUCAGGUAGAGAAUACCAAGGCGCUUGAGAGAACUCGGGUGAAGGAACUAGGCAAAAUGGUGCCGUAACUUCGGGAGAAGGCACGCUGAUAUGUAGGUGAAGUCCCUUGCGGAUGGAGCUGAAAUCAGUCGAAGAUACCAGCUGGCUGCAACUGUUUAUUAAAAACACAGCACUGUGCAAACACGAAAGUGGACGUAUACGGUGUGACGCCUGCCCGGUGCCGGAAGGUUAAUUGAUGGGGUUAGCGGUAACGCGAAGCUCUUGAUCGAAGCCCCGGUAAACGGCGGCCGUAACUAUAACGGUCCUAAGGUAGCGAAAUUCCUUGUCGGGUAAGUUCCGACCUGCACGAAUGGCGUAAUGAUGGCCAGGCUGUCUCCACCCGAGACUCAGUGAAAUUGAACUCGCUGUGAAGAUGCAGUGUACCCGCGGCAAGACGGAAAGACCCCGUGAACCUUUACUAUAGCUUGACACUGAACAUUGAGCCUUGAUGUGUAGGAUAGGUGGGAGGCUUUGAAGUGUGGACGCCAGUCUGCAUGGAGCCGACCUUGAAAUACCACCCUUUAAUGUUUGAUGUUCUAACGUUGACCCGUGAUCCGGGUUGCGGACAGUGUCUGGUGGGUAGUUUGACUGGGGCGGUCUCCUCCUAAAGAGUAACGGAGGAGCACGAAGGUUGGCUAAUCCUGGUCGGACAUCAGGAGGUUAGUGCAAUGGCAUAAGCCAGCUUGACUGCGAGCGUGACGGCGCGAGCAGGUGCGAAAGCAGGUCAUAGUGAUCCGGUGGUUCUGAAUGGAAGGGCCAUCGCUCAACGGAUAAAAGGUACUCCGGGGAUAACAGGCUGAUACCGCCCAAGAGUUCAUAUCGACGGCGGUGUUUGGCACCUCGAUGUCGGCUCAUCACAUCCUGGGGCUGAAGUAGGUCCCAAGGGUAUGGCUGUUCGCCAUUUAAAGUGGUACGCGAGCUGGGUUUAGAACGUCGUGAGACAGUUCGGUCCCUAUCUGCCGUGGGCGCUGGAGAACUGAGGGGGGCUGCUCCUAGUACGAGAGGACCGGAGUGGACGCAUCACUGGUGUUCGGGUUGUCAUGCCAAUGGCACUGCCCGGUAGCUAAAUGCGGAAGAGAUAAGUGCUGAAAGCAUCUAAGCACGAAACUUGCCCCGAGAUGAGUUCUCCCUGACCCUUUAAGGGUCCUGAAGGAACGUUGAAGACGACGACGUUGAUAGGCCGGGUGUGUAAGCGCAGCGAUGCGUUGAGCUAACCGGUACUAAUGAACCGUGAGGCUUAACCUU